RNAcentral lists this long non-coding RNA (1421 nucleotides) under Homo sapiens (human). RNAcentral describes it as "long intergenic non-protein coding RNA 158". The record is from RNAcentral. Lineage: Eukaryota; Metazoa; Chordata; Mammalia; Primates; Hominidae.
GCAAACAUUGGAUGAAGAAUGUGUAUUUUCAGUUUCAGAAGCUGAACAAAUAUGAAACAAUCUCUGGAAAAUGGAAUUUGAUUUUGAUUCAACAACAGGAGAAUUCUACUGUUUUUCUCCAGCAGCUCCACGAUAAAAGUGAAUUACACACUUCUUGAGGGUGGUGACAGAUAUUAUCUUUCAACCCUACUCAUCAUGAUGCAAUUGAAAAGUGGAUGAGUUGAUUUGCUGAAGGUUGAAUUCUUGCAGGAGGCAUGAUGAAGAAGAAAAGCUUCACUUCUCUGGAGACAGGAAGUCUGAAUUCUACUCUGUGGCUGCCACUUACAAGUACAUAGGAACUGAAAACAAGGACACCAUGUGAACUUGUAUGGCCACUUUCAACGCUGAGCAGUGGCAGAUGCUUUUGGGAACCCUGAGCAGAACACAUGCACAAACUCAUGCCAUACCCUAAGGGACAAGGUUCCCCACAUCUACUUGGAAAUCUUUGGGAUGCUCAAUGAUUAGCUCUUUGGAACUGAGAGAUGAGAUGAGGCCUGGAAAACUUCCCCCAGUACAGUCAAGUUCCUGUUGACUAAUUCUGUGACCACCAGUGACAGUCUUUGAGUCCGUGAGGCAGAGUUGCGGCAGCACAGGCUUUGCUUGGAGUUGGAUGGUUCGCACCCUGCUUGGCAUGGUUUCUAAGAGACAUCCUCUGAGUGGAUGAGGGGAGAAUCCAGCAGGCCUCUAGUCACACUGGACAGUUGCUCUGAUUCAUUUCUGGACUUCAGUGGAAGAAGCAGCCCUUAUUUAGGAUAUUGUUAGUCUUUGGCAGAGGGAAUACAAAGCAAUGGAAGGGUGAUGUGAUGGCUCCGAAAGCUUCUGUUGGAUGUAGAAUAUAAAGUUUGCUCACCUUUUUUAAUCCAAAGAGAAAAACAAGGAGAGAAAAAUCUAAACCCAGCAGAAGAGAAAGUUUAAGAAAGCGGUCGUCGCCAAUACCAAAAUUAGCUAUGAUAUUCAGGAAGAAAAAAAUGGAAACACGAUAACCACAGUCAAUAAAGACCAAGGCCACAUUCCAUUGACCAGAGCUCAGCCACGCGCCACACCUGGCUAAAGAGACUCUGGCUGAAGAAUUCCCUGAAUAUUUUAAUGUAGCUCUAGGUUAUAACACAGAACAACCACAAGGUGGCAGAAGAACUCCAUUCUUGUAAAUCUCUUAGUUGCUUCUUUAUUUCAUCUUCCCUAUUCCAUCUAAUGUUCCCUGAAUUUUACUAUUUUGUUGGUUUGAAAAUAUGUGUGACUUACGUCCUUUAAAGGAUUUGGUUCGUAAGGUUUUGAAUAGACUGGAAUAUAAAACAUUUAUAGAAAAGAAAAAUACCUACAGUAUGAUGUUAGUGAACUAUUAAUAAUCCAAUUAAAUAAAAUAUAUUUGCUUUGGAUUAAUA